GCCAGGCAUUGUGGCAGGCGCCUGUAGUCCCAGCUACUUGGGAGUCUGAGGCAAGAGAAUCUCUUCAGCCCAAGAGUUUGAGGUUGCUGUGAGCUGUGAUGCCACAGCACUCUACCCAGGGCGACAGAGUGAGGCUCUGUUUCAAAAAAAAAAAAGAUGGAGGCUUUACUUUUUUUUUUUUUGAGACAGAGUCUCAAGUUGUCGCCCUGGGUAGAGUGCUGUGACCUCACAGCUCACAGCAACCUCAAACUCUUGGGCUUAAGCAAUUCUCUUGCCUCAG
Molecule: non-coding RNA, 280 nt
Filed under: Otolemur garnettii (small-eared galago)
Lineage: Eukaryota; Metazoa; Chordata; Mammalia; Primates; Galagidae
Source: Rfam by way of RNAcentral